GUAUCUGAUUCAGUAGACAGGCAGUGGGAAGAUGUGGAAAGAUUUAGAGAAGAUGAGUGAUACAAUCCAAACGUUCGUCUAGGAAGGAUGAUCUAGUAACAGUGGAAGAUUUAAAGAAGAAAAUGCCUGCUGACUGUAAAACCAGGCAGGUGGUUAUUCCUGGCACAAGGUGACAAAACGCAAAAAGUGGCGAGUAGCAGUGACAGUUAGGAGAGGAUGAAUGGGAAAUAUAUUUUAGAAAUAUGCUUAACUACAUUGGGUGGCUGGGUGACUGUGAGGAAUUAGGCAGAGAACGGUGGGCUAGAGGAAGAUUCUAGGGGCUGGAGACCAUGGCAGAAACACAUCGUUAGGAGUUAAGAGGAAUAGGGAAGGAGGAACAAGUUUAGGAGGAAAUAUGAUAAAUUUGAUUUUGAACUUACAACUUAUGGGGCUGCAUGAGUCAUGAAGAACAAGGAAAAACUCUGGGAGUUCGUUAUGGUGGGUCGAUAAGGACGUGACUAACUCCUGUUCACGUAAGGCUGGAGCUUAGGAAUAUUCAGUGAUGGUUAUAGAAAAUAUAAAAUAAUAAAAAAUUAUUAAGCAUCUGCUAAGUAUCAAGAACUAAGGUAAACUCUUCUAUGCAAUUUAAAAAGACAUAUUCUUCAUAAUAGUUCCAUGAGGUAGUCACUAUUAGCUUGAUUUUCUUGAAUAACAAACAGACCUAUUAAAUAACUUGCCCGAGGAUACGCAGCUGAUAGGUGGCAAAACUGCAGUUAGGAACCUGGUUCAUCUGACUUCAGAGGCCACUUGAGUUAGUGGCAAAUCUGCUUUUCUCUUAACACUAUGACUUUCUAUCCUUGUCUGUUGUCGAUAAUGCAGGUUUAGAGAUUUUAUUUAUGAUGCUGAGAAACAACUUGGGAUACGUGUAGCUCUAAACACCCAGAACUAAUAAAAUUACAUUGAUCUGUAGCAUUUCAGAAGCACAGGGCGAAGCACUAUCCAAAGCAUCUCCAGCUUCUUUUGCCAAUUUAGCAGUAAUUAGGUCUAGGGAGUCCUGUGUUCCAACCAUAUCUAGAAGAUUAUGCUUUCACAGCCAUGCUUCCAAUUAUAUUUUGAAGAUCGUUUUCAUUACCAUCCCAGGAAGGAGGCUACGUAAGCUUGUUUUCCUCCCAUUAUUCUAACUGGAAUAAACAUGGCUUUAUUUAAAGAAAAACAAACUAGCAACGACCCCAAAUACUUCUUAACAAAAUAUUUUACCUUUGUUUCUGGGCAUGAAAAUGAUGGUUGCUAAGAGAUCCAGAAAGUGAAAAGCAAAAUGAGACAAAGGAGACUGAAAUAAUGUUUGCCUGGUUACUCAGAACAGCAUGCAGUGACUUUGUUUACUUUUCCUUCUUCCCCCUUUUUAAUGAACUGGUGAUGUUUUUAAAAUUUCCAAAUGAAUAUAAAUACCACCACAGUGCUAUUGACCUAUUUAUGUCCCCUGGAUAUUUCUAACUGAAUUAUGACAUCCAAACCAUAAUAAAACUUAAAUGUUUCCAAUACCAGCAAGAAGAUAUUUUCUCUUGCUUUCUUUUUUUAAAAGCUGCCAUUUGGAAAAAGUACUUUGGUGUUACUCCAAACCUUUGGAAACCUCUUCUUGGGAAUCUCCUAUUGGGAUGUCUGAUGAAGGGAAAUGAUGGAACUGAUCAUAAACCUGAUUCAGCUUUGGAGAUUGGUGCAUGUUGGGUGCACUAAUUACUGAGUUACACCUGCAAGCAUUUACAGCUUUUAGUAACCAUGGUUCAGUAAUAUAAUAAAUAUUUACUAGUAUGUAUGUUUGAGAAAAAGUUGUAAAGGCCUCUUUUGAAUGCGUAGUCUCUUUAAGAUCUCACAUGCAAGACUAGUGAAGACCUCCAAGGGCCUUGACUGUUGCUCAAUAUCAUGGUGGCAUUCAGUUUGAAUAUUUUAGAGACAUACAAACAAGCGAUUAGAUCAAAUAAUUGCUUUUAUCAGGUUCAAAGCAUUGGGAAAUCAAGAUGUUUGUCCAAGAUACCACUGGAUCAAGCUUUUCUUCAAACCAACAGAGGAGUUAUCAUUUCAUUUUUUUUUUUUGCCAGAAGUAGAUAUAUGAGAAAUAUUUUUUUUUGCCCUUUAAAACUAAAAGCAGUAUUUAGGGUUUGCAACCCAAAUAUUCCCUCCCCAGCUUCUUGCAGUGUAUUUACCUUAUAAUAUGGCAAUCAAGGAGCUGAUCACACUGAUAGAGACAAUUCUUCAUUUUUGCUUCUGAGUGGUAUUUCACAUACUGCAAAUUUAGGAAGAAACAUUGUCCAUUGCCGACCAGCCAAAUUAAUUAUACUGUAUUGAUUGAAAGCAAAAGAGAUUGAUUACUUGCAUGGUUGUUGUAAAGGUAUCUUACAAGCUGGCAGAAUUUAAGAUGAGAUGAGAAUUAAGUUCCAAAUGCACCAAGAACUCCAAAAAAGAAAUCUAUUCAUAAACAAACGAUAGGAUAUCAAACUCUUCAGGCAAGGGAAAGAGCAAUGGCUUAUGUUGGUCCUUCAAGGGACGUGCAGAGUGGAAGAGAGAGAUACUGACUAUCAAGAUAUGAACAUAAUGGAUACUUUCAUUGGGGACAGCCUGUAAAGUGAUAGAGAUCCUUUCCCUUCAGAUCCCAGUUUGUUCAGGAACCUAUGAACACAUAUGCGGAAUUUUCCAACAACAAUUUCCAAUAUCCCAGUAAAAAAUAUUCAAAUACCACAAAUUUUAGGUAAAUUUUUAUUGUAUGAAAAGAGCAUGGGUUUAGGAUUAGAGAAAACUGGGUUGGAAUCCUGACACCCCCAUCUAUUCUGACCCAACAGAAUAUAUUCAGUUUUUCAGUCUCAUGGGAAAGAGCAUCGUAAGUUGACAUCACUGCCUGUUAGGAGGAUUAAAUAAGACAUAUUGUCACAGUAUGUAUUCCAGUAAGACUGGUUGUCAUAGACAUACUAUAUUCUUUUCCAUGACAUCAUUCCUCCCAUCUCUUCUGCCUAAAGCACAUGUAUGCGUGUGAACAGGAGAAAGCCCAUAGAGAGGGAAAUAUUGAGUGCUCAGAAACCAGAGGGAUAACCCUAUUUCAAGAUCUCUAGAGAGGCAAAGUGGUAUGGGAUGUAGAACAGGGUGGGAGAUAGACUGCAGGAGCAGGACAGGUUUCAACACUGGGGCCACAGUCAUCUUGAUUGACCUACUUGCUCCGUCAUUUAUUAGCUAUGGGGCCCUGGGAAAGUUCCUUUACUUCUUGUAGUGUUGAUUUUAUUAUUUGAGAAACUGGGAUAAUAAGAGACUAAUUAACUGCUUGUUUAUAAAGCACUUAGCACAAUCUGGCACCUAACGCUUACUUAAUUCCUAUUGGUCAUCGUCUUCAUCGUCAUCAUCAUCGUUAUUAUCAUUUUAAUUAUUUAAUUAUUUUCUUCUACGUAAACUUAAAUAGGAAAGGAUGUUUCUGGAUGCAAAGUGCUGAUUUCUGAUGGCUUUUAUGUUAACCGUGAGGCAGGAGAUAAUGCCUGCUACUCCGCUUUGGAGGGAGACCAGAGGAAAAGGCAGAAGAGUUGACCCUUAUGAAGCAGGGAGAUUGAAAAUCAUUUACAAAGACAAAAACAAUACGAGUGAUUUUUCAUUUUAUUUACCAAUCCCCUGUCCCCCAAAUAAUGGAUGAUGAAUGUUUUGUAACUGUUGAGCUACUUUUUAAAAAUUGACCUAUUUGACAGAAGCAGCCGUUUCUUUUACUACUGCAGUUUGCUCAUACAUAGAAAAAAAAAUUUAUGAAUUAGUAUUAGCAUUCAUCCUGAAAUAUAGAAAAACUCCACAAUUGCCAUUACUAAAAAUAUUUUUUAUUCACAGGCAAUGUCUAAAUUCUCAAACGUUCCCGUUUUUAAAUCUCUGUACUUCACAUACCAUCCUUCUUUAGCGGUUUAGACUUUUUUUUAAAAUGACUCUUUAUUUUGAUGAGACUUCCAAACUAACGCUAAACUAUGUUUUCAGAGAGACAGGUUUUAAGAAUCAGAAUAACAAACCAAGCUUCUGUUUAAUGCAAAGUUAAUGUUACUACAGUUUAAUCAUGCCCUCUCCACACCUGCUUCCCGGGCUUCUGCCAUAGCGUUUUUUCAAGGAUUUUGGAUCUCCGUAUGUUUUUCCCUUCUGGUCUUUGUCAAUGGUUUUCAUAAUUGGUUAAGAUGAGAUAGUUAGAAAAUGACCUGUGAACGGCAGGAAAAACCACUUUAACUGGUAAUUUAGCUGAACCUUUAACUAUUUCAGCUAUGUCAUUGAGCAAACAGAUUCGAGAACUGACGGAGAGUCUGUUCUAAGAAUGUUUUGAUCCCUGCCCCCUUCCCACCCAUGCAACUAUGGAUGCCUAGUCCAAGAUAAAAAGGGCCAGGGACAACAUUGUGUUCACCAUCAUAGAGUUGAUUAAAACUUCACUGAGGCAAGCACCAAUGUUUAGAAAGCCUUGAGUACAGUUAGACUGUAAGUUCCUUGAGGACCAGAAGUGGUAAACAUCAUUGGACUCCUCAUUUCUAAUACAUCACAUGGCCUAGCACACAGAGGUGCACAGCAGAUACUGGUGAAUAAAUGGCGACUUAUGAGAAAUUUAGAUAUUUCUUCUAUCUACCUCUUCCUUACACACAUCUUAUUAGCAGACCUAAUUCAAAUUUGAACCAUCUCGGGUUUCUGUCUUCAUUGCAAAGGCCCAUCUGGGCUCAUCAAUCUCACCCUCUUCACCAAACAACUUGAGUCACACAGCAUAUGGUUAGUAAUUUAUCACCUUUAAAAAAGCAAAACUCAGCUAGGGAGUAAUUGCAGUCCAGAAAAUCUCAUUAGUAUAGUACAGCAAGUCCAAUCCUCCCACCAACUUUUCAACAGUGCAAAAGAACAAAUACAUGCCCACGUUCAAGAAGUGAUAGUAUUUAUAUGAUCAGACUAUAAUCAUGCACGAUUUAUUACCACGUGGCUUUGGAAUAGUUCAGUUUACAGAUCUAAGAAAAUUAUUCAAUAUCUGAUGGGAUCGUUCAGAAUAAGAUUAAACUGCUCAAUGCUGUUGUCAAAUACAAAAAAAAGAAAGUAUGAGUGCCAAAGGUAAGUUUUUUUAUAACGUAUUCACAGCAACAAUAAUUGUCACAUCUAAUGUUUAAAUAUAUAACAGUUUCAUGGAGUCUUGACCUUUAUACCUAUUUGAAAACUCUAUUUUAGGGCAAUAACCUUAAAUGUUGAAUGAUUUAAUAUUUUUAAUAUUUUACUUAAGAACAUCUGACAAUGCUGUAUCAUCUUUUGCCUGCCUAAUGUGGAGUAGAAUAUCUCCAUAUCCUACUCAAUGAGCAUUUUGAACGUGUCCGACAGAACGCAGUCUAGUCUCCCAGAAGUUAUCAGUAACGGUGAUAGCAAAAACACCAGAGAGCAGAGCAGAGGGUGCCCCAGGCCUGGGGGAAGCUGUAGAGUAACAGGUGAUGAGUCUGUGUUCGAGGGUCAGACCGCCCACUUUUGAAUCCUAACUUAGCUCACUCUGUAACUUAAUCUAUGUUUGUUUCCAUCCACAACUCGGGAUGCAAGUUUCCUCAGAGGGUUCUUAUGGGAUUCUUGACCCGAUGCCUGAAAAGCACUUAUGCAGAGCCAGACACAUCUUGAAAGCACAAUAAAUCUCUGCUGCUAUUCCUCUGCCCCAUAAUUUCUGUUUGAGCAAAGGUGAGUAAUGUUAACCCUCUGGCAACAUUUUCUCAUCUAUAAAAAAGGGUAUUAAUCAUAGCCGUCUGUAUGGUUGUGAGGAUCUGAUGGUACAGUGGAAAGCUCUGUGUAAACCAUGGCCAAUAUUUAGUAGUUCUUCUUAUUGCUAAUUAAAUGCCCAGAAAUCAAGUGUUAACAGCUAUUCAUUUACCUUAGUAUUUGUUCAAUCUACAUCCGUCACCCUUGAUAUGUGUGUGAGAGGGGUUCUUUCUAAUAGUAUAUUUCAAUAAGUGAAUUAAUGACACUAUAAUAUUCACUGACCAUAUAUUUUACAUAUUAUCGUAUAUGCACUUAUUAAUUGAAACACUGAGUUUAUACUCUGAACUAAGCACAGUUCUAUAUCCUGGGGAAUGUGGCAAUGAAUAAUAUGGAUGGAUUUCCUAAAUAUCAUGGAGUUACUUUGAAGAGAGACAGACAAGAAAAAAAUUAAUAUGUCAAGUGAUGAAUAGCUGUGACCAAAAAUAGAUUAGGGGCCUAAAGAGUGUUAGGGGUGUGGUCAGAGAAGGCUCCUUCUGAGAAGGUGGCAGUUGGCCAGAGAUUUGAAGGAAAUGAGGAUGAAGUCAUGCAGAGGAAAGAGCAAGUGCAAAGUUUCUCAGGUGGGUUCCUGCUUGGCCUAUUAAAUAGACAAUAAAGGAGACAAAGUGGCUGGAGAGAGGCGAGUGAGGGGGAGAUUGGUGGAGACAAGGAUAGAGAGAAAUAUAGAAGGCCCGGUAGGCUGAUGAAGAGGACCCAUCAGUGGGUUACACUCUGAGUGAGAUGGCAGCCUUGGAAGGUUUGAGUGGAGGACUAAUAUGAUCUAACUUACACUGUAGGAGACUCACUGUCUCAGUCCAUUCGGCUGCUAUAGCAAAGAUACCGUAGACUGGGUGGUUUCUGAACAAACAGAAAUUUGUUUCUCACGAUUCUGGAGGCUGAGAAAUCCAGGAUCAAGGUGCUAGCAGAUUCAGUGUCCUGACUCACAGACAGCUCUUUUCGCUGUGUCCUCACAUGACUGACAGGGGAAAGGGAGCUCUCUGGGGGCUCUUUUACAAACAUACUAAUCUCAUGCAAAGACCUAAUCACCUCCCAAAGGCCCCAUCACCAAAUACCAUUACACUAAGCAUUAGGCUUCAACAUGCGAAUUUGGGGGGAUACAAACAUUCAGUCUGUAGGUCUCACCUUGGGUGCCAUGUAGAGAAUAGAUUGCAAGUACAGCAGGUGUGGAAGGAGGGAGAAUCGAUAAGAGGCGAUUGCAAUUGUCUAGGUGAGAAAGCAUGGUGGGUUAGAUUAGAGAGUAGCAAUAGAGAAGACGAAAUGAUUACUGGAAAUGAUUUUGGAAAUAUUUAGAAAGUAGAGCUGGGGGGAUAUACUGUUGGUUUGGAGGUGGGUGGGAAGACAGAAGAAUAAUGCUGAGAAUGACACUAAGACUUUUGGCCAGAACAACUGAGAAUGUAGAAUGGAGAUGCUGUUAAGUAAAGAAGGAACUACUGGAGGAGGAGAAGAUGUAAGGAUAAAAGAAUUCAGCUUUGGACAUGUCAAAUUUGAGCUCCUUGUUAUAAAUUCAAAUGGAAAUGACAAGCAGUAAAUAAAAUAACCAAGUUCAGAGUUCACUGCAGAGGUCCAGACUAGAGAUAGAAACUUUAGGGUCAUCCGCAUGUGGGUGGUGUUUAAAACCCUGACACUAGAAGAGAUCACCAGGAGAGUAAGAGAGAAGUCCAAAAAGGAACCCCUAGGAUGCUCCCAUAUUUAUAGGAUGAGAGCAAAGAAGUUGCUAAGGAAAAAAAAAAAUGUUUCCCUUUCUCCUGUUAAGAUACUGACUACUGAUCUACCAGUGUUUUUUCAAAAGGAGGUUCUCGUGCCAUCUGCCUCAGAAAUAUCUGAGGUGCUUAUUACUAAUAUAGAUGCUUGGUCCCACCGCACACUGACUGAAUCAGAAACUCAGCGAAUGGGGCCUCAGAGUCUGUGUUUUAUUAAGUUUCCCAGAUGAGUCUUGUGCACACAGAAGUUUGAGAAAUAGUGCUUCCAAAAAGUUUUUCUCAUAGCACAUGUAGAAGAUGAUACUUUUGUACAGCACAUUGAGUAAAUAGAUAAAGUGCUGACGUGAGCAGAGGGCACUGGCCUGGAACCCUGGCUGUGAGGCCCUCUGAAAGCCUGAGCGAUCAAUAUGGUGGUAUACCUAUAACCAAUUCGUGUCAAAUGAGAAAGCUGUGACACACGACUGGGCAGCUCUGUUUCAGUCUGUCACACAUAUAAUUAAGGUUUUACAAAACUAUGUUUACGUUUAUACAUUUAUUCUAAUAAAUAUGUGAGUUAUUGAGAUGACUUAAUCAAAGAUUAACUGAUAUUUAAGAUAUCUAUUUCAGUCACAAAGGCAAAUAUUAUAAAAAUAUGCACAAGCAUAAAAUAUGAAUAAUCUAACAUCUAAAGGAAUUCUCAUAGUUUAGAAAUUUACAGUACUGAAUUUUAAGAAAAAUUAAAAAGCUUCUUUAAUUUCCAUAUCACUAAUCAAUUCUCUUUCUUGUUUUUCUUACACAGGCCAUUAAGGACUACAGGUUUUGUUUAACAGCUGUUUUUUUAUGUAUUUAAGCUUAAGGUAAUAUUAAGAUAACAGUUCUUAAAAUCUGUCCAGUAGAGUGUCAACAGUUCCAUGGUUAGUUUGGGACCAGUUAUAUCUCCUUGGUUGUUAACAAUUCAUAUAAUGUUAUGAAGAAAAGGAUUUAAGAUGUUAAAAAUAGACAAACAAAACCCAAAACAGUUUGUUAUUGCUUACCCCAAUAUAUCCCAGAUGUAUUUGAUCAAAUUAACUAUUUUUUUCUGAGGAAUUGUUAAUAUCUCAAAGGUCAGUUACUGUUCCUCCAUGCCCAGUGUUACAUUAAACCUGGUCUGGAAAACGAUUACAACACGACAUGUGAACAGCUCCAAGGUAGUUUAGUAAUCUGCAUAUUAGAUCACUAACUGAAGAGAAGUGACUGAUGAGCAAGGCGGUUAGUCUAAAGGGACCCUCUAGACAAGGUGAAUCUUGGCGAUAAGGAAGGACGAGUUGGUAGAAAGGAAAUGACAGAGCAGAAGGGAGCAGAGAAUUAGGGGAGAUGAACUUGUGUGUAGGGUCUGGAAAUUCGAGUGAAAGGAAGAAUUCUUUGAAAAAAGAAAUAGUAUCAAAACUCAAGUUUAGGAAUUAAAAUAUGUGUAUCUCUGAAAAGUAUUGAGAAAGAUUGUUUGUCAGGGUGAUAUUAGUUACUGACAUUGGGGGCGAGAAACCAGCGAGGUGGCUAUUCCAGGAGAAUAACGUACUAUUGCUGCAUAAUAAACCGACCUAAAACCUGGUGGUUUAAAACAACAGCCGUUUAAUUAGAUCAUGAUUCUUGGGGGUCUGGAGUCUGGGCCAGGUACAGCUGAGUGGUUCUACACGUAUGGCUAGACUCACCAUGUGUUUGCGUUCAGCUGCUGCUCAACUAGAUGGCUCUCCUUCUGAGUUUUCACCGACUGUAUUCUGGGACAGUGAAGGCUCAUAGGGCACAUCUCUCUCAUCAUCCAGAAGGCCAGCCUGAGCUUGGUCAUGUAGUUCACAGGGUAUCAUUACCAGCAGGAGAGGAAGGCCCCUUGAAGUGUAGGGUACAAAUUUGCAUAACAUCACUGCAGCCCAAUACUAUCAGUCAAAGAAAGCACAAGGCAGCCCAGACAUAAGGGAAGUGGAAGCAGACUCCAUCUCUUGAUGGGGGAAGCUAAAAACUAUUGUGUUCUUUUUUGCAUUCUACCAUGGCAGAUGAUAUGGGCUGCAUUGUGGAGAUACCUCAUGAAAUGGGGAGGAAAACAGGAAAUCAAGAGUCUUCUGGAAGGGGCACAGGCAGAAAGGGUAAUAAAGUAAUAUUAUGUCAUAUAUACUGGCAGGACUUGAUAUGGUUAUCCUGUAGCUUUCUCUCAAAUCCAGCCUUUGUAGACUGAGAAGUAAUGAUUAAUACUCUGGCAAGUUUACCAAGGCUUUCUUUAAACUAUAUUUCCUUAAACUUUACCUCCCCAAACCUACCUCUAUAAUGAUUCUAAAUCAUAUUGUCAACGCAAAUAAUCAAUAACCAAUGUAUAGAUAAGAAUAGGGUGAUAUUUAUUGAGCUAAGGACUAGUCUUGAAGCACUCUCUUCCACAGGGAGGAAAGCAUUCCAGGGAAGCCUGGUUGACAGCAUGGUUAUAUACCAUUUCAUAACAAAGAACAUACAUCAAGCAUGACAGGAAUACAAUUUUUUUUCCCCAAAGUCUCAAGGAGAUGUUUCGUUGCAGCUUAGUACAUACAUAGCAGGUCAACUUGACCUUAGUUCUCUGGGAAGAAAAACUUAUCUUCAAAGAAGUACUGGUAUCAGCAUCAGACAGAGGGAGACAUUACAUCCCCAUCUUUAAAGAAUGCAUUCUUUUCUUUUGAGAAGUGUUCGAAGCAGGUGUACAAUGUGUGUUUGGUAGGCCACAAGUCAGGCUACUCUGGGGAAAACAAGUUUUAGGCCAAAUCAAAUUUAAACCAGAAUAGCUUCCCCAUAUACCUCAAUAUGUGAAAACAUGAUUAUUAUUAUUAUUUUCAUCAAUAUGCUCCCCAUAUACUUAUGUUCAAACAGAACUGCUCUCACAUAUGAUGGUGGCCACUGCAGUCAGGGGUAAAACCAGAAUUAAUACGUUCCAUAGAUAUGCUCUUCUUGGUUAUAAACUUAGCAUUUUACAAAAUUUAAAUGUAUAGACUUUGCUAAUAUGAAGCAUAAUGUUCUAAAUGUUUCAAUUUAAAGUUAAUAUUCUAGUGAUGGUCUAGAGGUUAAGAUUUGGUUCUCACUGCCAAGGCCUGGGUUUGUUUCCUGGUCAAGGAACCACACUGCCCAUCUGACGGUUGUCAUACUGUGUAGGCUGUGUGUUGUUAUGAUGCUGAAAGCUAUGCUACCAAUAUUUUAAAUACCAGCAGGGUCACCCAUGGUGGACAGGUUUCAGUGGAGCUUCCAGACUAAGACAGACUAGGAAGAAGGACCUGGUCACCCACUUCUAAAAAAAUUGGCCAUGAAAACCUUAUGAAGGUUUCAAAGCAGUGGAACAUUGUCUGAUAUAGUGCGGGAAGGUAAGAGGAGGGCACGGAAAGAUGGGGCAGGAUCCAUCUGCUGUACCCAGGGUCUCUGGGAGUUGGAAUCGACCCAACGGCACCAACACCAACAACAAAACAUUCUAGAGCUAAAACUCCAGAUACUUUCAACAAACCCUGGGAUGUGUGGGAAAUGGAGAAGAUGAGUGUAAGCUGGCUUAAAAUCUUAUACAAUUUUCAGAGGAAUUUUAUAGAUACAGAUUUGUUCUUUUAAAAUAUUCCUUUUAACAGGUAAUAUGUGUACAACAUACAAAAUUAGAAAUUCUAAAGAUUAUGUGGUGAAAAGUACCAUUCCUUUCAGUUCCCUGAUUCACUAAUUCCUCUCACUGGAUGAACCACAGUUACUAAUUUCUUGUGUAUUCCUACAGAAUUAUAUAUGUCUUCUUUGUUUCCAUCUUCAUCUUCCCUUUUUACUUAAGAGGCAGUCUACUACGUCUACCGUUCAGCACCUUGCUUUUCCCUAGUCAAGCUAUUCACAAGUUAUCUCAUAAAUUAGUCUAUGUGAAAUCAGUCAGAGAACAGCAAGUUAUCUCUUUUUUUUUUGAACUGCUAUCUUUAUCUUCAAUUAUAUAUCAAAAUGGAAUCAGUCCUUUAUUGAAGGACAGCUAUACUCUCCAACAUUUUGUAUUUAUAAACCAUGCUAAAAUGAAUGUUCACAUUUAAUGACACAUUUAAAUGAAUGACACAUUAAAAAUAUGUCAUUUCUUACACUUGCUGGUAUAUCUGUGGAAAGAAUCCUAGGACUAGAAUUGCUGGUGUUAAAAAGAGUGUAUGCAUUUGUCAUUUUGAAAAAUAAUCCCAUACUGCUAUCAAUCAAGACCCUAUGCUAUAUACAAUUUUUAAGUCUUUUUUAUGGUCAAAUUUACAGAAUCUUUCUCUUUAUGGCUUCUGAGCUUUGUGUCAUACUUAGGAUUUUUUUUCUCCAAGAUUACAAAUUUCUCAUUUCUCAUUUUAUUAUGUUAGUUAUUUACUUUUAUCAUAUAUAUUAUCUAAUUUGUUGGUUUAAUUGGUUAAUCUACCUAGCAUUUAUUUUGAUGUAGAAAUCUUAUUUUUUUUUCAGCUGUCUACUCAGGUGGCCCAAGCCAUUUAUUAACUAAUGCAUAUUUUUAUCAGUGAUUUUAAAUACUAUCUUUAUCAUCCUGGUUAACUUUUGAUAUUGUUUUCUUUCUUGUCGUUUAUUCACUAAUACCUCUUCUGUUAUAUUAGAUAGCAAACACUGGUUUUUGCACAGGAAUCUACGGCUCAGUAGAGAAAGCAAGUGUCGUAAUUUGGCAAGGUCAAUAAGGCAGGUCUGAGUAUGGAGUUGCCACUGAAAAAGAAGAAAGAAGAGUAAUGAACCCAGAGUAAAACAUAAGAAAAGCAGUAUCCAAGACAAAGAAGGUUCUAUGCAUACGUUUACAUGUAAUCAUAUAGACACCUCCACACACAUACACAUAUAAUAGGAUAAACGAGAAAAACCAUGACCCUUGUGGGAAGGGAAAGAUAGAGAGGGAUUUAUGAAUAACAUAAAAUCUAUAAAUUCGGAUGAGAUUUACGCUUGGUGUUGGGGUCCGUAGUGGCCACAAUCAAUAGCAUCUCCCCUCCCUACUCAGGUUAUGAAGCAAAAUUUAUCUUUUAUUACUAAGAGAGGCAAGAUUAGAAAACAUGGCUUUAAGGCAGUUAAGAAAGAGGGUUUACUAGUCCUGAGCUCCAGAAUUUUUUAGAUUUAACCACCUAGUCAAGGCAGCACAAGGCUGCAGAAGCUUCCCUUGGAGAAGAGCCACUUCUCUUGAUGGCAGCAAAACCAACACUCACUGUAGGCAUUCUGUUCCCCAGAGGAACAAGGAUAGAAAAGACAGAGCUUGUCCAGAUGUUUCCAAAGAUAAACACUGCUCCAGGUAACUCAAAGAGAAGCAGAGCGAGUAAAGGGGCAGAGAAAGACAAAAAGAGUAUCCAAAUUGAUCCUCUGGGAAACGAGGAGGAUGAAAAAGUGUUUCUUUUACCAUUAGACUUCUAGGUCUAAUGAAUGAUGAGAGAAAUGAUCCCUGAAAUAGAACAAGAAGGCAUCAGUUACAGCAUGCGAAACAAUUAAAUGUCUGAUCAUUUGGGUCAAGGAAUGAGGAGUGAUCUUGUGGAUGCUGUUAGGAACGGCGCAAUGAGCCAGGAUUUUGGUGUUAUGGAAAUGGGAAAGUGCUUACUGAAAAUCUGUAGGACUAAAUAGGUAAAAACACAAAGUUUAAUGUCAAUGACCACAAAGAAGAAAAGCAUGAUAGACACUUUCGUUAUUUAGAUGUAUCUAAAAAGAACUCUGUGAUGUCUAUGUUAAUAAUACAGCUUUAGAGAUUAAAAUUAUGCCCUGAUUGUGGACAGUUUUCACCCAGAUAUACACACACACACUCACACACAGGCACUCACAUACACUGAUUUUACUGGCCUAACUUAACAUCCCACAAGGUAAUCAUUAACUGUUAUCCUUAAUGCCAAGAAAGUUCUGGAAACUCUGGAAGCUUACUAAGCUUCAAAUAUGUAACUUACUGCUUGCAAUAGUAUUUGAAUGGUUGCUUCCAGAAGUUAAAUGAAAAGAAAACAAUGGCAACCACUUAGUGACAGAAUCCUGGACCUGGAAAUACACAGUGGUCUCCAGGAGCACCAUUUUCUGCUUUUCUAACUGUGCUGCUUAUGCAAAUUCUGUGACUUUCUUGAGCUUCUAUUCACAUAGUUUAAAAAGGUAUAAAUAUAUAUUAAAACACAUGGUCCAUCACUAGCUAAAUCCACCUUAUGCCCCACCUCUUCAUCAGAACCCUCUAUUCAGUAUACAAUUUAGCAACAGAAGUAUUUUUAAUCCUAAGAAUUUCCAAAUAAUGACGGAAGCAGUAAUAAGUGAUACCUGGUUUUAUUAAUCUCAUUUGUACCACCCACCAGUUAAUUUCACAAAAAUGAGAUUGCAUAAGGCUGAACUGAAGGAUCAGUUUGCUUAACUACAAUCUUAGAUUAAAUAAAUUACUUCAUUCUAUUCUAAACUUUGGAAUUCAUGUUUUUAUUAAUUUAAAGCAUAAAACCUGCAAAAACUAUAUAAGGAAGUUAAUUUGUAGUGACAUCAUCGUAUGACACAUCUAUUACUGUAUCAUUAAUCAAUAGAUUUGUACUUGUGUAAAUUGUAAGGCAAAUAUACUUUUUUGAUGUCUGUCUGAAAGAUGCUUGUACACGUAGUGUUAGAUAGAUUAGAUUAGAGUAUGUGAUUUCUUUGUUGCUCAUUUCUUGAAGUCAGUGGUUCUCAAAAUGUGAUACCCAGACCCGCAACAUCAGCAUCACUUGGAAACUUGGAAAGGCAAAAUCAACCCCCACUCCAGAACUCCUGAGUCAGAAGUCCUGGGGAUUGGGACCCGAAGUCUGUGUUAUAACAGGUUCUUCAGGUGAUUCUGAUGGAUGCCCAAGUUUGAGAACUACAGCUUUAUGUGACUCAACGCUAUUCUAAAAUUCUCUCCAUCAAUAAGAGAAGCUGAAAUUGGGUCAGAAAAACCCAGAUAAUGCAUCCCAGAGAUUCCUAAUGACAUAGCAGUAGUAAAUUAUAGUGUCGUAUUGAAUGUUUCUUUUAAGUAAAUAAAUAUUUUGAGGGGAGUUUUGCCCCUUUCUUUCUCUGGAGAAGACAGGUUUAGGAUUCAAAUGUAUAUACAAUGCAGAAUGAAAGGAUGCCUACGCAAUUAGUACUUCAGAGCAAGACUAAAAGGCAUAGUCAUAUCUGUUGGAACCCACUGAAUACAGUUUUUAUAUAUUUUACACAUUGUUCUUUCAUAUGGUUCUUUACAUAUUAUUCUCUCAUUCUCCCAAAAUAAAUUAGCUCACCAGUACUUUUUAGAGGAAUAUUUUUCAGGAUUAUCUUGCCUUGGGUGUUAGGACAGCCAAAGGAGCAAGGAUGAGAUGUCACAAAAAAAGCAGCUCUAAGCUCUGCCCAAAGCAUGUUGCCUUAGAAUAAUUAUCAAGUAGUUCUCUUGGUGUAGAUGAAAAAACACCUAGGUGUCAGGUCCAAAAAGAUGCUGACAGUUUGUACAGCUUCCUGGGAAAUGAGUAGGCACCCUCUGUAGAACUAAUGUAAUAUUGUUUGCAGGAUUGUGUCCUGUUGCUGUUCUUCUUCUUUCCUUAAUGGCUACAUAGUACUUCCUUUUACAAUGUAUAAUAAUUUAGUCAGUCAAUUCUCUGUUGUUCCCAUUAUCUGGGAUAUCAUGAAUAUUGCUUUUUCAAGCACUCUUCUGCUUAGAUCUUUGUUUGAUGAUUUUCCCCUCAAGAUGUAUUUCUUUCAAUAACAUCUCUGUGCCAAAAGGCAUGUAUAUUUUUAAAGCUUUUGAUACAUAUUGUAUAUUGCCCCCUAGACACCUGUUACUAAUUAACAAUUCAAUUUUUAGGAUGUACCUUUUAUUUACAUGCAUGCUAACACUAGAUAGUGCCGGGAGCCGUCAGCCUACAAGUUAAGCCUCUGCCUUGUGACACGGUCCGGGAGAGAGAUGAGGGGACGCACAGCGAUCCUCAAGGGAAUCUACCAGGCUUCCCCUGCAAUAAGUCUCCCUGGUACUUUUGACUUUCCUGCUUCUGCUCACUCUGUUCUGCACCUGGGGUUAUUUCAGGGGAAGUCAGCCUGGCCCUGGGAAUGAGAAUGAUACAAUGCAAUAUUCUAGAGAAAGUUCUGGGGAAAAACAUCUUCUAGGGAAAGAACAUUUUGACCUGUCCUUUGGUUGGGUGGAGCCAUGGGAGUGGAGAGCGAACAAAGAAAUCUGUGGCCCCCACAGAUCUCUCUAGGAGGACGGUGGUUGCCACGGCCCACUAAAUCAGGAGGCCGCUGGGGGUGGCCUCCUUGAAGUAAAGGAUUGCAGAAGCUUGACUCCCCCCAGGCCUACACACAAUCAAUUGCUCUUAGGACUAUUGUCUACCUUGCAAUCAAUUGCUCUUAGGACUAUUGUCUACUUUACAAAAAGCCGCUUACGUGAGCCAAAAAAAUAUACUGGGACUGUUUCAUGAAAUCAUCCUUGCAUAUCCUGAGCCCUAUAUAAAUCAUGCAUACACAAAAUAAAGUUAGACUUGGACACCAAACUCCUUGUCUCACUGCCUCCUCCUUCGCCGACACCGUCCAUCCUCAGGAGACCCUGUUCCGGCUGGGGCUGGACCCCGGCAAGAUAGUAGGAUGGCAGAACAGAUUAAGCAACAAUAUGAGGAUGUAACAAUGAACGUGGCUUAUCCAGGGAAUGGUGAGAAGACCUGUUUAAAGACUUGAAGGGAUUUGAAGUCGCCCAAUAAAUGAUAUCCCUUUCUCCAACACACCUUGGGACCCAUUGAAGGAAGUCAAGAAAAUGGAAGUAAAGACAUGUUGGAGGACCUGGAUGGCCAUAAGGGACAUCUUUCUUUUUUUUAAAGAUUGGCACCUGAGCUAACAUCUGUUGCCAAUCUACACUUUUUUUUGUUUAUUUUAUUUUGUUUUGUUUUCUUCUUAUUCUCCCCAAAGCCCCCCA
Equus caballus (horse) is the source of this 16266-nucleotide non-coding RNA. The record is from RefSeq and is a predicted model, not a curated record. Lineage: Eukaryota; Metazoa; Chordata; Mammalia; Perissodactyla; Equidae.